UGGGGAAUAUUGCGCAAUGGGGGAAACCCUGACGCAGCGACGCCGCGUGUGGGAUGAAGGUCUUCGGAUUGUAAACCACUGUCGCGAGGGACGAAGCUCUGACGGUACCUCGAAAGGAAGCACCGGCUAACUCUGUGCCAGCAGCCGCGGUAAUACAGAGGGUGCGAGCGUUGUCCGGAAUCACUGGGCGUAAAGGGCGCGUAGGCGGCCCGGUAAGUAGGGGGUGAAAUCUCAUGGCUCAACUGUGAGGCUGCCUUCUAGACUGCCAGGCUUGAGCACAGUAGAGGCGAGUGGAAUUCCCGGUGUAGCGGUGGAAUGCGUAGAGAUCGGGAAGAACAUCGGUGGCGAAGGCGGCCACCUGGUUGGAUACUGACGCUGAGACGCGAAAGCGUGGGGAGCAAACAGGAUUAGAUACCCCAGUAGUCCCUGAGCGGGCUGGCAAGGCGCAU
RNAcentral lists this ribosomal RNA (449 nucleotides) under uncultured bacterium. RNAcentral describes it as "bacterial SSU rRNA". It matches the Rfam family "Bacterial small subunit ribosomal RNA", at positions 355 to 825 of the family's 1533-position model. The record is from RNAcentral.